Molecule: long non-coding RNA, 1186 nt
Organism: Amphimedon queenslandica
Lineage: Eukaryota; Metazoa; Porifera; Demospongiae; Haplosclerida; Niphatidae
Exons: 6
Source: RefSeq, a predicted model, not a curated record
AAGUCAAUUCUACUUAUCGACUAUAUUUUAUCUUUUAAUCUAUCUUCUAUUUAACCAAUGAUAAUUGGAUAUGUCAUUUUUAUUUUGCAACAGUUUGUAAGUCAUUAUAUUAUAUUAUUUGAAUUUAUUUUUAAGCUUUCUUUCUCCCUGCUCCAAUUGACAAUAUAUAACGCAACUGUAAUAAUUGUACAAUAGUUUGUAAGUCAUAAUGUGCAUAAAUUUUAAAAUUUUCUUCCCCUCUGAUCAACAAUGAUUGCUUUUAUUUCACUAUAGCAAGUGAGUCAUAAUGUAUACUGUUAAAUUGUAACUUGCCUUUUGAUCUAAUCAAAAAUUUAAAAAAUAGAGAGCAGUAAGUCAAAAAUGUGUAUCAUUGCUUAAGUUUUUAACUCUUUUUUUCCAACCAUUAUUUAAAUAGCAAAGAGUAAGUCAUAAUUUUGUAUCAUGCAAAAUAUUUACUUUCUUUAUGAUUUGAUCAACACUGAACCAAUACCCAUAGUUUGUAAGUCUGAACAUAUGAUAUUAUCAUCAGUAAUAAUAUACACUUAUCUAUUUAUUUUUUCUCUACUUCAACCAUUGUAAUUCUCAGAUUGUAAGUCAAAUGUGUUUUAUUAUUUACAUUUAAUCUAUAGUCGGUUUCAGUUGAGUUUGACCACUGACCCACCCUUAUAACUUCUCUAUAAUUUAUGCUAGCAACUUGAAACUUGGUAUAGUUGCAAAACGGGUUCUUCCGAAAAUCUGUACCAAUUUUGGAGUCUCUAGGUACUCUGGAAGGUUCUCAAAAGGUUCUUUCGGUCUACAUGAAAGGGAGCCGCCAUGAUGUUUCAUGACGUGAAGCUUCGUGAAUAUCAUUUGCAUCUCAUUAAAUAUGUCAAUAAUCAUGUUUUUAUUAUUUUAAAAUCAAAUAAAGCAAAAGGAGCACUCUAGGCCAAGAUAUAAUUGAACAAGAAGACUUUGCACUCCAGAAAAAAGUCUCACUCAGUCUGCUGUACUUCUCUAAGCCUUCGUUAUUUGUCUUCAACAUUGCCGCUCAGAAACUCAGUUAAAAUUUUGCAUCUCUCGAUUCUUUCUUCAGGCAGUAAGUGAAAAUUUCAAAAUGUGUUUUAGUCAAUUUAACUUUCAUUUGAAACUAACAAACAAUAAUUACACUUCCUACAAAAUAGAGACCAUUUGUAGGUCAUACUGUGCU